CCGGGCCGCCCCCCGCCCCCGCCCCUGCCCAUUGGCUACGGGGCUCAGCCCGCGCCCGGAAUAGAGAGUACCCAAGUUUGUGGCACAAGCAUGUACUGAGCACCUGCCCUGUGGCAGGCACCGUGAAGUCCCUGGGGUAGAGAGAAUCCAGGGACUCCUGAGCCUCUGACAUAUAUCCCAAUUACCCUAUUCUCAGGUCAGCCUGAGGUGGGGCAUGUGCCUGGAUUCAUCUAACAGUGAUUGACUGGAAGCAACUGAUGUUAUUUCUCCAGUGGUG
Molecule: long non-coding RNA, 277 nt
Organism: Symphalangus syndactylus (siamang)
Lineage: Eukaryota; Metazoa; Chordata; Mammalia; Primates; Hylobatidae
Source: RefSeq, a predicted model, not a curated record